Molecule: long non-coding RNA, 724 nt
Organism: Cercocebus atys (sooty mangabey)
Lineage: Eukaryota; Metazoa; Chordata; Mammalia; Primates; Cercopithecidae
Exons: 3
Source: RefSeq, a predicted model, not a curated record
CCACAAUCCCGUCACCGUCACUCAUUCUCGCUCCAACACGGGGAGGACGGAAUGGCUCUGCCGGCCGUCAGGAUGUGACUGGGAAAAAGAAACAGAACCACAGGAACAUCGGUGAUCCACGCUUUCUCUAAAGAGGGCAUCAAGGCUUCAAGAGUUAGAUGGAAACAAUGGGCAGGAGAGGAAAGAGGAAAGAAAAAAAAGGGAGGAUAUGGUCACCUUCUUGCGAAGCUCUGAUUAGGGCUCCAUAAAUCCAUGUGCUGCCCGUGAAAAGAAAGGGGCAGAGGGACAGUCAGCGAGUGUGCUUUUGACAUGAGACAGAGUGGAGGGGGCAGUCACGCACGCGUUUGUCUCAGGUGAGGGAGAAAUGACGUCCAGUCUGCCUCUGUCCCGUCCCUGUGAAGGUGGAUGGAUGUCAGAAAGCACGUCCCGCUGGAAGGAACUGCUGAGCAGCGGUGAAGUCAAGGACAUAUGGAACCAGAGAGUGAACAUGAGUCCUGCCACUUAUCCUCCUUGCAGUCUUAGAGAAGUCACCAACCUCUCUCUGAGCCCCGAUUCCUUCCUCUGCUAAACGGACAUGGCAGUAACCUAGCCCACGUGUCACAAGGCUGUUGUGAGGAUUAAACAAGACACUUCAUGGUGUGCCUCACACGUGGUAAGUCCCCGCAAACAGAAUUAGCAGGACCUGACAAACGGUUUCUGACAACGUGUCUGCCAAUACAGGGUU